RNAcentral lists this ribosomal RNA (606 nucleotides) under Cytospora chrysosperma. Its description in RNAcentral is "eukaryotic LSU rRNA". It matches the Rfam family "Eukaryotic large subunit ribosomal RNA", at positions 38 to 667 of the family's 3401-position model. The record is from RNAcentral. Lineage: Eukaryota; Fungi; Ascomycota; Sordariomycetes; Diaporthales; Cytosporaceae.
GCAUAUCAAUAAGCGGAGGAAAAGAAACCAACAGGGAUUGCCCUAGUAACGGCGAGUGAAGCGGCAACAGCUCAAAUUUGAAAGCUGGCUCCGGCCCGCGUUGUAAUUUGCAGAGGAUGCUUCUGGCGAGGUGCCUUCCGAGUUCCCUGGAACGGGACGCCAUAGAGGGUGAGAGCCCCGUAUGGAUGGACACCAAACCUGUGUGAAGCUCCUUCAACGAGUCGAGUAGUUUGGGAAUGCUGCUCUAAAUGGGAGGUAAAUCUCUUCUAAAGCUAAAUACCGGCCAGAGACCGAUAGCGCACAAGUAGAGUGAUCGAAAGAUGAAAAGCACCUUGAAAAGGGGGUUAAACAGUACGUGAAAUUGUUGAAAGGGAAGCGCUUGUGACCAGACUUGCGCCGGGCAGCUCAUCAGGGGUUCUCCCCUGUGCACUCUGCCCGGCUCAGGCCAGCAUCGGUUCUCGUGGGAGGAUAAGAACGGUAGGAACGUGGCCCCCCUCCGGGGGGGUGUUAUAGCCUGCCGUACGAUACUCCCGUGGGGACCGAGGUUCGCGCUCCGCAAGGAUGCUGGCGUAAUGGUCAUCAGCGACCCGUCUUGAAACACGGACC